UUGGGUGAAAGUGGAGCGGAGUGAAGUUAUUUUUCACCGUUAACGGUCAAUUUUGCUGUUUGAUUUGCUAAAUAAAGAUUUGGUCAAAAUUCGAGUUAUCGAAAAUAGCGCCUAGAGCCGAAGUCAAUUAUGAUGAAGAUAGGUAAAAAAAAUAAUAAAAUAAUAUAAUGGGUAAUGCUAGUUAUAUUUAAAUAUAUUUUAUUAUGAUACUGAUUAUUCUUUUAUUUAGUUUAUAUUUUUAAAAUAUAUUAAAAAUUAAUUAGUUAAGUUUUAAUAUUUUCUUAAUUUAGUUUAUAUAUUUAAAAUAUGAUAAAAAUUGAUUAUUUAAAUAUUAAUUUUUUUAUUUUAUAAUUUUACUAUUAUAUUAUUUUAAUUUAUAUAUAAAAAAAUAAUUUAGUUGUUUUAUAAUACAUUUUUUAAUUAUUAGAAAUAUAAUUAUUUUUUUAUUUAUUAUAUUAUAAUUUACUAUUUAUUUUAAAAUAUUUAUUAUUUAUAUAUAAUUAUAGUCUUAUAUUAUUCACUUCGUUCCAAACAAACAACAUAGCUUAAAAAACUUAACUUCCAUAAUUAUAAAAACAAACGGGGGAGCGAAGUAGUUUUUACUUGAACCCCACUUCAACCCAAAGUACAUUUCAAACUAAAGUUCAGUUUUGAUAAAAUAAAUAAACCCUUGAAGUAAUAUUUAUAUUUCACUCAUUCAAAGAUCAUUACUUUUUAAUUUAUCUUACCAUUUUUCUUUCAUAGUGAAAACCCAAAGGGUUUGAACCUUAGGUCAAGAGAGGCAUCAGAUUUAACUCUAUAUCCAUAUAUAAAGUUAGUAUUUUUCAUAUCAAAAUUUUACCCCAUUGUUUUUGCAUUUAGGGGCUAUUUGGAUGCAAAUAUAAAGACAUGGAGUUGGACAUAUAUACAGUUAAAAAUAUAAUAAUUAUAAUUAUAUAUUUUUUAUUUGAUUGGAUAUAGAGAAAAUAUUAAAAUUAUUAAAUAAUUUGAUUGGCUGGAUGUAGUUGAAAAUUAUAUUUAAAAAUUUUAUUAUUUCAUAUAUGUGGUUGUGAAAGCUUUUAUUAAACUAUACAUAAAUUAUGCACAAUUCUAGAUGCUGCCGUUGAGAUUUCUUGUGCAAUUUUAACUAUAGCAGUUAGAUUCAAGUGUACCAAAACAAAUGUUGUAUUUAAAUUUGUGUAAAAUUGAAAUUGCAGUGUGAUU
This 1203-nucleotide long non-coding RNA is filed under the name Ananas comosus (pineapple). RNAcentral's name for it is "long non-coding RNA (ACOM_LNC020767)". Lineage: Eukaryota; Viridiplantae; Streptophyta; Magnoliopsida; Poales; Bromeliaceae. The record is from RNAcentral.